This 1512-nucleotide long non-coding RNA is filed under the name Homo sapiens (human). RNAcentral's name for it is "novel transcript". The record is from RNAcentral. Lineage: Eukaryota; Metazoa; Chordata; Mammalia; Primates; Hominidae.
AGUGAGCCUAAGAAAGCCCCAGCAUUUCAGGCCAAGCCGCUGGCUGCCUGGCUUCUGUUUUUACUCCUUUCCUUCUGUCCCUUUCUGGGACGAGCCACACCUUCUCUGCUUUCUCUGGGCCCGUCCAGGACGCUGGGCCCGGGGCCUGGCGCGGUGAGCUGCAGAUAGCCGGGGGCGCAGGGCAGCCCGGAGGCUGGAGGGCGACCUGGAAGGCUGGACCGGUUCGGGGCAUCUGGUGCUCAAGGAAAGUCAGCUCCCGCCGCCCCUCGGGGCCAGGUGGGUGCAUGAAGUACCCGGUGGCCCAGGUGCCUUUCCCCAACCCAAGGAGCUCAGAACUCUUGGCAGUUCGACGUUUGCAAACAAACCAAAGAGGAGCAGAAAGUUUUCAGACUCAGAGGCGACAUCCCAACAGCUUGGCUUGAAGGAGUACUUUAGGACUCAGAACAACAGGAUGAAGACAGCAGCUAAAAUAGAACACACCAGCAGAGACGUUCAGCUCCUUGAGCUGUGCUUCCGAAGCUCAAGCAUGGCAGAGUGGCCUUGUUAAAUCAGAGUUCAGGGUGCCACCCUGACAGUUUCUGAUUCCGUAGGUGCCCAGUAGGGACCAAGAAUCCUUUUUUUUUUUCCUUUUUCUUUUUAAUAGAGUCAGGGUCUUGCUAUGUUGCCCACAUGGGUCUCAAAUUCAAGCGAUCCUCCCACCUCGACCUCCCAAAGCACUGGAAUUCCAGGCAUAAGCCACCGUGCCUGGCCAAGAACGUUUUUUUUUUUAACAAGUUUCUAAAUGAUGCUGGUCUAUUGGUCCUGGGACCACACUUUGAAAUUGGUGGGAUAGGAGGCUGGGAUCUUUAUCCAUUCACUCAACUCCCAUUCCCCAUGGUUGAAAGUUUCCCUGGGGCAUCCCUGGGAGGCCUGGGGGCUGACAAGAUUCAAACGUUUUGGUGAAAAGCCCCAAGACAGUGAAGUGGGGUGUGCUUGAAGUGGGGCACCGUCAUCACCCACCUACCCACCACAGAGGUGAGCUAAAAGGUUACCAGACCGGAGCCUCCAGCAAUCCAGGAGCACAAACAAGGAUGCCUUAAAACAAAACUUGUGUCAGGGUACCCUUCGCUGCCUCAGAGGAAAUCAGAAUGACCUGGUGGACAACUGUUCAUAAGGACAAGAGCCAGUAUCACUGCCUUUGAGUCCCAGCCUCCUCAAAUCCAUUUUCUGCCCUGCACCACCUCAUCAUAUCCCGGAUAUUGUUAGUGUCGUGUCAUUUCAUGACUCAGGAGCUGCGGGUGACUUUGGCUGCCCUGACAUUUGUUAAAUUGGCUCCUGGGUCCUGGUUUGCAAAUGUUGCCACUUUGAGAUCCGUAGAUGGUCAUCCCUGGCUCCCUUGGGGAGUGUCCUGGAAUCCACCAGCUCCAUCUGCUCGACAAGAGACUUGAGUUUGUUCUGUUACCUCUUUCAUCAUUAGCCAAAGCUCCGGGACUUGGUUAAAACUUUAGGCAAUUAAAAAGACUGACUUAUGGA